This is a non-coding RNA of Pocillopora verrucosa, 378 nucleotides long. The record is from RefSeq and is a predicted model, not a curated record. NCBI's taxonomy places the organism in Eukaryota, Metazoa, Cnidaria, Anthozoa, Scleractinia, Pocilloporidae.
UUAUGACUUAUCAACUUGAGUUUAUAUUGUUGUUGCCAUUUUUAGGAGUUGCUUUGGAAAGCAUGAGCAGGUAAACUUGUACUCAGAUAUUUUCAACAAUGUGUCUCCCUUGGUUCAAGCUGGUCAUGGUUUCAUGGGAACAGAAACUGUGAAGUGAUGACAUGGCAAUCUAGGUGAGCCUGAACCCCAGGAUAACUAUAUGGAGGAACUGGAGUGGUUUGAGAGGAAACAGCGAGGGAAGAAACAGCAUCCAAGGAAGCAAAAGGAAGAAAUAAUUGAACAAUCAUGAUUCCAGCGUCACUAGUUUACUGUUGUCAUGUUUCUGGGGGUAGUAGCAUUGAUGGCUGGACUCCUUCUUACUGCCAUGGUCUAAUUAAA